Molecule: RNA transcript, 2186 nt
Organism: Alligator mississippiensis (American alligator)
Lineage: Eukaryota; Metazoa; Chordata; Crocodylia; Alligatoridae
Gene: GATB
Gene name: glutamyl-tRNA amidotransferase subunit B
Exons: 14
Source: RefSeq, a predicted model, not a curated record
GACCGCGGAACAAGCGCGCUGGAGCCAACCCGAGGGCGGUGCUGGGGUCACAUGAUCCCCGCCCAAGCUGGUCAACAUGGCGGCUCCCGUGAGUGGCGGCGGCCGCCUUUGUCGGCUGGCCUGGCGCCGCCGGGCAGGAGCUUUGCACAGCGGGGCGCAGCCCGCGGCGCUCGGCCGGGAGCCGGGGAAGGUUGCGGCGGCGCAGAGCGGUGUUGCUCCCUGGAGAGCAGUGGUGGGUCUGGAAGUUCAUGCACAGAUCAGUUCCAACUCCAAGAUUUUCUCUGGCUCCCAAGUGCAGUUUACAGCACCCCCUAACUCUUUGGUAUCUUUUUUUGAUGCUUCUCUACCAGGAACCUUACCAGUUCUCAACAGGAGAUGUGUAGAAGCAGCCGUGAUGACAGGCCUGGCACUCAGCUGCAGCAUAAACAAGAAGUCCUUGUUUGACAGGAAACAUUAUUUCUAUGCAGAUCUGCCUGCUGGCUACCAAAUUACUCAACAAAGACUUCCUAUUGCUGUGAAUGGGAAUCUGUCAUACACCCUCUGUGUAGGGGCAAAACAAAGUCAGAUGGUAACAAAGAAUGUGAGGAUCAAGCAGAUUCAGUUGGAACAAGACAGUGGGAAGAGCCUUCACAACGAUGCAAGGAGCCAGACUUUCAUUGACUUGAACAGGGCUGGAGUUGGCCUCAUGGAAGUUGUCAUGGAGCCUGAUAUGUGCUGUGGGGAAGAGGCAGCUGCAGCAGUCAGAGAGCUUCAGCUUAUUCUUCAAACACUUGGGAGCAGCCAGGCAAUCAUGGCAGAGGGUCAACUAAGAGUAGAUGCCAAUGUAUCUGUGCAUCAUCCAGGAGAGUCUUAUGGAGUGAGGACUGAAGUGAAGAAUAUCAAUAGUUUACGAUUCCUGGCAAGAGCAGUAGACUACGAAAUACAGAGACAAAUUGAAGAGCUUGAAAAUGGAGGAACAAUUCUGAAUGAAACAAGAGCCUUUGAUUAUAAACUUGGGUGCACGAUACCAAUGAGAGACAAAGAAGGAAAACAGGAUUAUCGGUUCAUGCCAGAGCCAAACCUUCCUCCAUUGAUUUUGUAUGAUGCUAAAUCUUUGCCUGCUAAUAUAGACGAUCAGCAAGUGGUAAAUAUCGAUUGGAUUCAAGAGAGGCUUCCUGACCUCCCCAGUGUGAAGAGAGUGAGGCUUGUUGAACAGUAUGGAAUUCUGCCUGAACACAGUUUCACCUUAUUGAAUGAAGAUGGAUUAAUGGAGCUCUUUGAAGAUGUGGUGAGAGAAACCCAGAUGAAUCCAAAGAAAGUGAUUGGAUGGGUUAUAAGUGAGCUGCUUGGUCAUUUAAAACAAUACGACCUUACAGUCAAGGAGAGUCCAGUCAAUUCUCUCUCUUUGGCUGACCUUCUGAAUCUCCUAGAGAGAGGAGUCAUUUCUUCUUCAGCAGCCAAACAGGUGCUUGAGGAAUUAUGGAAGGGGGAGGGGAAGACCCCACUUCAGAUUGUCAAGGAAAAACGACUAGAAUUAAUACAGAAUCAGAGAGAGCUUGACCAGAUCUGUCAAGCAGUCAUGGAAGGACAUCAGGAAGAGGUUAUGGAGAUAAAGGCAGGAAACAAAAAAGUUCUGAAUAAACUGAUAGGCCUGGUUCAAAGAGCAACACAAAGGCGAGCUGAUCCCAUUCUGGUGAAGCAAAUAUUGGAGAAGAAGCUGUCACAGUAACCUUUAAGAAAACCUGCACAGAUGCCUACAGCCAAAGAAGACUUUACAGUGUUGGCUUGAUUCUCUACAGCUCCAUUCUAAGCCACAGCUUGCACAACUGCCUGAAGCUUCCUCAUGCAACAGGACAUGUUUUCCCCCUUUUUAUAACUCAGCUGUGAUCUCAGGCUGCUUGAGGGAGAAGACAGAACAGCACGACUGCAUUUGCCCUUGUCAUCUGCACCUUCCCUGCAAUGCUGUUUUGGAACACUUCAGACAAAGUUCAUUAUGUUCUACCUCACAUAAUAGUGAUAGAAAACCAGAUUACAGCAGCAAGUGGGUCAUGAUUUCUCUCUUCAAAUAUAGCAGGAGCUAACUUGGAUCUGGUUGGCUAUAAGGUGCAAGUGCCUCAGAAAGCUAAGAGCUUCAGGAGGAUAACUGUAUUAUUAAAUGUAGUUAAAUGUUAUAAGUUGGACAAUAAAAUACCAAGUCCUCAGCUCCA